RNAcentral lists this non-coding RNA (27 nucleotides) under Cricetulus griseus (Chinese hamster). Lineage: Eukaryota; Metazoa; Chordata; Mammalia; Rodentia; Cricetidae. The record is from RNAcentral.
UGCUUUGGUGAAGGGAUUGAGAGAUAA